UUAUAUAUAAUCAAAAGAAUCCAUUAAAGGCCUAUAAGAGAAAUUAGUUCAACAUCACACUACUAAGAACUAAACACAAGUAUAAAGACAUCAAAUCCAUGUUACAAUUAAGAAAGGUAAAGAAGAGAAGAAAAACUCUAUAUUUGUCUCUUCCAAUUGCUUUCUUCCUCCUUGCUCUCUUGCGUGCAACUUCUUCCUGUAUCUCUCUCCCUGUGUCUAUUGUCUUUUUUUGUAACUUCCCUCCUGUAAUGUUUUUGUGUCUCUUGGCCCAUGUAACUCCCAAGCCCAUUAGAAAACAAAACAAUAACUGAUCUAUUUUUCCUAUACUAUAUUUUGAAUAAAAUAAAUACUACAAAUAAGUUUCUCAAAUAGAAUAGGAGUUCAAAGUAGAAAAUUCGGACUUUCUGCUUCUGGCCAUAUUCUGGGCUGAUUGGAAUGUCAAUAAAUUCUGAAACCUUACUUGAAUUAAAGGUCUUCUCGCAAGCUUUCCAACGGCUGUUUACGGGCCCAAAACGGACUUACAGAACUCCGGUUAUGAUCAAAACAAUGAACACAACACAAUUAAUCCCAAAAUCCGAAUUUUGCUAGAAAUCACUUCAAAUAAUGCACUUUUUGCUCCAUUCCUUCUAUUAUGAGAAUUCUUUAUUUUCUACAAGAAAACAUGAAAAUAUAUAUUAAAUAAAAUCCAGUUUC
This 693-nucleotide long non-coding RNA is filed under the name Daucus carota (carrot). RNAcentral describes it as "long non-coding RNA (DCAR_LNC002114)". The record is from RNAcentral. Lineage: Eukaryota; Viridiplantae; Streptophyta; Magnoliopsida; Apiales; Apiaceae.